RNAcentral lists this ribosomal RNA (712 nucleotides) under uncultured bacterium. Its description in RNAcentral is "bacterial SSU rRNA". It matches the Rfam family "Bacterial small subunit ribosomal RNA", at positions 1 to 675 of the family's 1533-position model. The record is from RNAcentral.
UUAGAGUUUGAUCAUGGCUCAGGACGAACGCUGGCGGCGUGCCUAAUACAUGCAAGUCGAACGCGUCCCGGUUGAUGAAGUUGAGUGCUUGCACUUGAUUGAUUCAACUUGGUGACGAGUGGCGAACUGGUGAGUAACACGUGGGUAACCUGCCCCGAAGCGGGGGAUAACAUUUGGAAACAGGUGCUAAUACCGCAUAACAACCAAAAUCACCUGGUUUUGGUUUGAAAGACGGCUUCGGCUGUCACUUUGGGAUGGACCCGCGGCGUAUUAGCUAGUUGGUGAGGUAACGGCUCACCAAGACAAUGAUACGUAGCCGACCUGAGAGGGUAAUCGGCCACAUUGGGACUGAGACACGGCCCAAACUCCUACGGGAGGCAGCAGUAGGGAAUCUUCCACAAUGGACGCAAGUCUGAUGGAGCAACGCCGCGUGAGUGAUGAAGGGUUUCGGCUCGUAAAACUCUGUUGUUGGAGAAGAACGGGUGUCAGAGUAGCUGUUGACAUCGUGACGGUAUCCAACCAGAAAGCCACGGCUAACUACGUGCCAGCAGCCGCGGUAAUACGUAGGUGGCAAGCGUUGUCCGGAUUUAUUGGGCGUAAAGCGAGCGCAGGCGGUUUUUUAGGUCUGAUGUGAAAGCCUUCGGCUUAACCGGAGAAGUGCAUCGGAAACCGGGAGACUUGAGUGCGGAAGAGGACAGUGGAACUCCAUGUG